GAUGAACGCUAGCGGCAGGCUUAAUACAUGCAAGUCGUGGGGCAGCAGGUUUGUAGCAAUACAGAUGCUGGCGACCGGCAAACGGGUGCGGAACACGUACAGAACCUUCCUUUGAGCGGGGAAUAGCCCAGAGAAAUUUGGAUUAAUACCCCAUAGUAUAAUGAAGUGGCAUCACUUUAUUAUUAAAGAUUUAUCACUCGAAGAUGGCUGUGCGGCUGAUUAGGUAGUUGGCGGGGUAAAGGCCCACCAAGCCUGCGAUCAGUAACUGGUGUGAGAGCACGACCAGUCACACGGGCACUGAGACACGGGCCCGACUCCUACGGGAGCAGCAGUAAGGAAUAUUGGUCAAUGGAGGCAACUCUGAACCAGCCAUGCCGCGUGGAGGAUGAAGGUCCUCUGGAUUGUAAACUUCUUUAUAUGGGACGAAAAAAGGCUUUCUAAGUCGUCUGACGGUACCAUAUGAAUAAGCACCGGCUAAACUCCGUAGCCAGCAGCCGACGG
Molecule: ribosomal RNA, 501 nt
Filed under: uncultured bacterium
Lineage: Bacteria
Description: bacterial SSU rRNA
Rfam family: Bacterial small subunit ribosomal RNA
Source: RNAcentral